RNAcentral lists this small RNA (792 nucleotides) under Pongo abelii (Sumatran orangutan). Its description in RNAcentral is "processed transcript". The record is from RNAcentral. Lineage: Eukaryota; Metazoa; Chordata; Mammalia; Primates; Hominidae.
AGGCAUCGUUCAUUUGAAGGGGAAAAUGGUUUUAUGUGCUGCGCUUCAUCUGGCACCAGUGGUUGCCUGCUCCUCGUGGCAGGGCCGUGCUGGGUGUCACAGAGAGGAAGGAGACUCAUCUCCUGCCCACUGGUGUUUAGCUGCCCUCCCCCGGGCUUAUGGCUGCUAAUCCCACGGAACGAUACAGCUGCUGAAACUGUGGAAGAGGAAUCCAUUUCUGCUGCAUGAAGGGGCACAGACUUGAAUACAGUCAGCACAGGUUGUGGUUUCACUUGUAUAAUCCUGAGAGCUUGACAGCUUCGAGGAGUGUCUAACAUUGCUAGUAACAGAGCCUGGAAGCACCUGAAUUCCAGCUGUCACUUGGAGAGAGUCAUACGAACUGCGAGAGCAUAUAACCAGCAUGUCUUGAGUCUUUUACCCGUGUGCCUAUUAUAUGGGUGCUGCUGUUUUUGUAAGAUGAAAUGACCAUUGGAUAUUCUUGGUUAUGAUCAGCGUUUCUUCGUCUAGGCGAGAAAAGAAAUAGCAAUGCCAAGUGAGUACACCUAUGUGAAACUGAGAAGUGAUUGCUCGAGGCCUUCCCUGCAAUGGUACAGCCGAGCUCAAAGCAAGAUGAGAAGGCCCAGCUUGUUAUUAAAAGACAUCCUCAAAUGCACAUUGCUUGUGUUUGGAGUGUGGAUCCUUUAUAUCCUCAAGUUAAAUUAUACUACUGAAGAAUGUGACAUGAAAAAAAUGCAUUAUGUGGACCCUGACCGUGUAAAGACCUACACCGUGUCUUUAAAGGAAGCAGGGCCC